UUAACGGCUAGGAAAAAGAUAGACGCCUUUUUAGUUUAUUUAAGAGAGUUAUUGUUUGGUGGAAAAUAACAUAAAUAAAAAGAAACGGAUCACUUUGGAGCUAAUAUGAUGAAUUAAGUAAUUAUAUUCGUAAACUUGCGUUAAAAGGGAAUUGAGUGCCUAGAAAUAGGAACUAAGGUGGUACCGCGUUAAUUUAACGUCCUUAGA
Molecule: non-coding RNA, 207 nt
Filed under: Bacillota bacterium
Lineage: Bacteria; Bacillati; Bacillota
Description: Firmicutes bacterium T-box sequence
Rfam family: T-box leader
About the family: Uncharged tRNA acts as the effector for transcription antitermination of genes in the T-box leader family. T-boxes are found upstream of many aminoacyl-tRNA synthetase genes and some amino acid biosynthetic genes usually in Gram-positive bacteria. The anticodon of a specific tRNA base pairs to a specifier sequence within the T-box motif, and the NCCA acceptor tail of the tRNA base pairs to a conserved bulge in the T-box antiterminator hairpin.
Source: RNAcentral